This 253-nucleotide ribosomal RNA is filed under the name uncultured bacterium. RNAcentral's name for it is "partial 16S ribosomal RNA". It matches the Rfam family "Bacterial small subunit ribosomal RNA", at positions 524 to 776 of the family's 1533-position model. The record is from RNAcentral.
UACGAAGGUGGCAAGCGUUAUUCGGAUUUACUGGGCGUACAGGGAGCGUAGGCGGUUCGGUAAGCCCUUUGUGAAAUCUCCAGGCUUAACCUGGAACAGUCGGAGGGGACUGCCGGGCUAGAGGACGGGAGAGGAGCGCGGAAUUCCCGGUGUAGCGGUGAAAUGCGUAGAGAUCGGGAGGAAGGCCGGUGGCGAAGGCGGCGCUCUGGUACAUGAUUGACGCUGAGACGCGAAAGCGUGGGGAGCGAACAGG